RNAcentral lists this ribosomal RNA (460 nucleotides) under uncultured bacterium. RNAcentral's name for it is "partial 16S ribosomal RNA". It matches the Rfam family "Bacterial small subunit ribosomal RNA", at positions 338 to 795 of the family's 1533-position model. The record is from RNAcentral.
CCUACGGGUGGCAGCAGUGAGGAAUAUUGGUCAAUGGACGAGAGUCUGAACCAGCCAAGUAGCGUGAAGGAUGACUGCCCUAUGGGUUGUAAACUUCUUUUAUAUGGGAAUAAAAUGUUCCACGUGUGGGAUUUUGUAUGUACCCUAUGAAUAAGGAUCGGCUAACUCCGUGCCAGCAGCCGCGGUAAUUCGGAGGAUCCCAGCGUUAUCCGGAGUUAUUGGGUUUUAAGGGAGCGUAAGUGGAUUGUUAAGUCAGUUGUGAAAGUUUGCGGCUCAACCGUAAAAUUGCAGUUGAAACUGGCAGUCUUGAGUGCAGGAGAGGUGGGCGGAAUUCGUGGUGUAGCGGUGAAAUGCUUAGAUAUCACGAAGAACUCCGAUUGCGAAGGCAGCACACUGGACUGCAACUGACACUGAGGCUCGAAAGUGUGGGGAUCAAACAGGAUUAGAUACCCGAGUAGUC